RNAcentral lists this ribosomal RNA (429 nucleotides) under Gemmatimonadota bacterium. RNAcentral describes it as "Gemmatimonadetes bacterium partial 16S ribosomal RNA". It matches the Rfam family "Bacterial small subunit ribosomal RNA", at positions 355 to 776 of the family's 1533-position model. The record is from RNAcentral. Lineage: Bacteria; Pseudomonadati; Gemmatimonadota.
UAGGGAAUCUUCGGCAAUGGACGAAAGUCUGACCGAGCAACGCCGCGUGAGUGAAGAAGGUUUUCGGAUCGUAAAACUCUGUUGUUAGAGAAGAACAAGGACGUUAGUAACUGAACGUCCCCUGACGGUAUCUAACCAGAAAGCCACGGCUAACUACGUGCCAGCAGCCGCGGUAAUACGUAGGUGGCAAGCGUUGUCCGGAUUUAUUGGGCGUAAAGCGAGCGCAGGCGUUUUCUUAAGUCUGAUGUGAAAGCCCCCGGCUCAACCGGGGAGGGUCAUUGGAAACUGGGAGACUUGAGUUCAGAAGAGGAGAGUGGAAUUCCAUGUGUAGCGGUGAAAUGCGUAGAUAUAUGGAGGAACACCAGUGGCGAGGGCGGCUCUCUGGUCUGUAACUGACGCUGAGGCUCGAAAGCGUGGGGAGCAAACAGG